CUGCUCUGUCCCUGCUUUCUAGCUGUACAGAGUUAAGAAGAGGAUGAUCUGAAGGAUGACGGUGGCCUCUGAGCAGAGAAGGGCAAUUACCGGAAGUAAAGAUGCCGAAUCUUACAGUCUCAGAAGCCAUGUACCUGUGGUCUUUUCACUUCUCAAUCUCCUCUACAAUGACAGUGACUACAAGAGCUGAGAGAGACACCUUGGGCCAGUCCAUGUAACAGAAGGUGACACUGAGGACCAGGAGAAGAGCAUCCGCUCUGGGUCAAACAGCUAGUGCCAACCAGAGCCCUGACCCUGACUCCCAGCCUGGCUGCUCUCCACUGACCCUGCCUCUUUCCUCUUCCUGGCAUUAGACACUGGAGAAAUGGAUUGUAACCAGAUGUCAAAUGGGGUUCUCCUGUUGCCCCGGAAUUGUGGCCAGGGUCCAAGGCUGAGUGCAAACAGUGGGACGUUCCUGCCUGUAAGUACUGAGAAGACCUGAAGUCGGGCUGCC
Molecule: long non-coding RNA, 493 nt
Filed under: Marmota monax (woodchuck)
Lineage: Eukaryota; Metazoa; Chordata; Mammalia; Rodentia; Sciuridae
Source: RNAcentral